GCUGCUCUGGUGCAGUGGUCAACAAGUUCUUUUUGCACAAGCACGGCCCUGGUUCAAUCCCAGGCUCGAUCC
Molecule: non-coding RNA, 72 nt
Organism: Entophlyctis helioformis
Lineage: Eukaryota; Fungi; Chytridiomycota; Chytridiomycetes; Chytridiales; Chytriomycetaceae
Source: the annotation of a GenBank genome assembly